UACGAAGGGGGCUAGCGUUGUUCGGAAUUACUGGGCGUAAAGGGCGCGUAGGCGGCGUGUCAAGUCAGGCGUGAAAGCCCCGGGCUCAACCUGGGAACCGCGCUUGAGACUGGCAUGCUCGAGUUCGGGAGAGGAUGGUGGAAUUCCCAGUGUAGAGGUGAAAUUCGUAGAUAUUGGGAGGAACACCGGUGGCGAAGGCGGCCUUCUGGACAAUGACUGACGCUGAGACGCGAAAGCGUGGGGAGCAAACAGG
Molecule: ribosomal RNA, 253 nt
Filed under: uncultured bacterium
Lineage: Bacteria
Description: partial 16S ribosomal RNA
Rfam family: Bacterial small subunit ribosomal RNA
Source: RNAcentral